Molecule: ribosomal RNA, 1888 nt
Filed under: Salmonella enterica
Lineage: Bacteria; Pseudomonadati; Pseudomonadota; Gammaproteobacteria; Enterobacterales; Enterobacteriaceae
Description: partial 23S ribosomal RNA
Rfam family: Bacterial large subunit ribosomal RNA
Source: RNAcentral
GGUCAGCGACUUAUAUUCUGUAGCAAGGUUAACCGUAUAGGGGAGCCGGAGGGAAACCGAGUCUUAACCGGGCGUUAAGUUGCAGGGUAUAGACCCGAAACCCGGUGAUCUAGCCAUGGGCAGGUUGAAGGUUGGGUAACACUAACUGGAGGACCGAACCGACUAAUGUUGAAAAAUUAGCGGAUGACCUGUGGCUGGGGGUGAAAGGCCAAUCAAACCGGGAGAUAGCUGGUUCUCCCCGAAAGCUAUUUAGGUAGCGCCUCGUGAAUUCAUCUCCGGGGGUAGAGCACUGUUUCGGCUAGGGGGCCAUCCCGGCUUACCAACCCGAUGCAAACUGCGAAUACCGGAGAAUGUUAUCACGGGAGACACACGGCGGGUGCUAACGUCCGUCGUGAAGAGGGAAACAACCCAGACCGCCAGCUAAGGUCCCAAAGUCAUGGUUAAGUGGGAAACGAUGUGGGAAGGCCCAGACAGCCAGGAUGUUGGCUUAGAAGCAGCCAUCAUUUAAAGAAAGCGUAAUAGCUCACUGGUCGAGUCGGCCUGCGCGGAAGAUGUAACGGGGCUAAACCAUGCACCGAAGCUGCGGCAGCGAACGUAUCACCCAAGACAACUUUACGGAGUUGACGAUUGACGGAGCGAAGCGACGUCAAAGCGUUCAUUAAAGUCGAGUUGGCUUAGGGAUACGUUCGUUGGGUAGGGGAGCGUUCUGUAAGCCUGUGAAGGUGUGUCGUGAGGCAUGCUGGAGGUAUCAGAAGUGCGAAUGCUGACAUAAGUAACGAUAAAGCGGGUGAAAAGCCCGCUCGCCGGAAGACCAAGGGUUCCUGUCCAACGUUAAUCGGGGCAGGGUGAGUCGACCCCUAAGGCGAGGCCGAAAGGCGUAGUCGAUGGGAAACGGGUUAAUAUUCCCGUACUUGGUGUUACUGCGAAGGGGGGACGGAGAAGGCUAUGUUGGCCGGGCGACGGUUGUCCCGGUUUAAGCGUGUAGGUGUGUGUUCCAGGUAAAUCCGGUUCACUUUAACACUGAGGCGUGACGACGAGGCACUACGGUGCUGAAGCAACAAAUGCCCUGCUUCCAGGAAAAGCCUCUAAGCAUCAGGUAACAUCAAAUCGUACCCCAAACCGACACAGGUGGUCAGGUAGAGAAUACCAAGGCGCUUGAGAGAACUCGGGUGAAGGAACUAGGCAAAAUGGUGCCGUAACUUCGGGAGAAGGCACGCUGACACGUAGGUGAAGUGAUUUACUCAUGGAGCUGAAGUCAGUCGAAGAUACCAGCUGGCUGCAACUGUUUAUUAAAAACACAGCACUGUGCAAACACGAAAGUGGACGUAUACGGUGUGACGCCUGCCCGGUGCCGGAAGGUUAAUUGAUGGGGUCAGCGCAAGCGAAGCUCCUGAUCGAAGCCCCGGUAAACGGCGGCCGUAACUAUAACGGUCCUAAGGUAGCGAAAUUCCUUGUCGGGUAAGUUCCGACCUGCACGAAUGGCGUAAUGAUGGCCAGGCUGUCUCCACCCGAGACUCAGUGAAAUUGAACUCGCUGUGAAGAUGCAGUGUACCCGCGGCAAGACGGAAAGACCCCGUGAACCUUUACUAUAGCUUGACACUGAACAUUGAGCCUUGAUGUGUAGGAUAGGUGGGAGGCUUUGAAGUGUGGACGCCAGUCUGCAUGGAGCCGACCUUGAAAUACCACCCUUUAAUGUUUGAUGUUCUAACGUGGACCCGUAAUCCGGGUUGCGGACAGUGUCUGGUGGGUAGUUUGACUGGGGCGGUCUCCUCCUAAAGAGUAACGGAGGAGCACGAAGGUUGGCUAAUCCUGGUCGGACAUCAGGAGGUUAGUGCAAUGGCAUAAGCCAGCUUGACUGCGAGCGUGACGGCGCGAGCAGGUGCGAAAG